RNAcentral lists this long non-coding RNA (1174 nucleotides) under Anas platyrhynchos platyrhynchos (common mallard). Its description in RNAcentral is "lncRNA (ENSAPLG00000021566.1)". Lineage: Eukaryota; Metazoa; Chordata; Aves; Anseriformes; Anatidae. The record is from RNAcentral.
AUGUCAAGCUCAACUCCAAACUGGCAAUCCUCUGAACUGGCUAUUAGUGCAUCAGAAAAGUACAAGCAGCGUGAAGAGGAGCGCAGGAUCUUGCCACGUACACCAGAUUCCGUUGCCAAAUUUUCAGAAGAGCCUUUCCAUAGUGAAAUAAUUGGAACAUGUGGAUGGUGGUGAGUGUAAGCACUGAGAAAUUGCCUUGAAGAAGAGAAUUUCUCCAAAAUUACCUUGAUUUUUAAAAUAAGUAUUUGUUGCAUUAAUUAAAACUCAUGGGGUAUUUACUUUCUAUAACUACCCUCAUUAAAGAGAAUUUGCUAUAUUUUUUUCUUUUUGUUUAAUAACUCAUUUUCCCACAUCUUUUGCACAGGCCAUGACAAUUACAUCCCACAGAACUGCAUUAAGGGAUAUAACCAGGGUUCUGGUUUUGAAGACUGCUCAGAAGAAAAGUUAACAGCACUUGUAUUCUUGUGAUAUUAAUGUAUAAUGAGCGAUGAAGUCAUGCUGUGGUAACCAUUUCCAGGACAAAACCCAAGUGGCUCCAUUCACAAGUCAGAGCUUUCAUGUACUGCAACUUUGACAGAGUUACCUUUGUUCUUGUACCAGCCUGAAUUAGAGUUAUUGACCCAGACAGCAUUGUGAAGAGUCAGACUUUUAGUGCCUAUACAAAGCUUGUCAUAAACAUAAAUAAUUUUAAGGGACUAGUAGUAAUGCAUUGGGAGAAAGCUUCAAUGUUUCUUGUCUAUAUCACAGAGAAAGCCUUAUGAAGUUUCAACAGGGGACAAUUAUUUUUUCCCCUCUCAUAAAACAAAAGAGCAAACUACAAGUAGUUCCACUUCAUGGAAGAAAACUUUUAGACUGAAUUAUUUUUGAAAUCUCAUUGCCCAUAAACAAACCAAUUAUGCUAGUAUUUUCAAUCAACUCUUUAGCUACCAUCCUUAAAAACUAGGACUGCGGAACACCACUCAUUGAGUCAAUAUUACAGCCAGAACCAAAUCAGUUGGUGGAGUUAUAGUAUUAGAAAAGCAGUUAAUAAGACUACUAGGCAGAAAAACACUGGAAGGAUUCAAGCAGAACAGAAACAGUCCCUACAAACAUGCUAGACCAACUGAGAGCACAUCCUGCUCACCAGCCUGAGAUAGUAGGCAAAUCUUUUCAUGCUUACUGAAGAUUCACCUUA